UUGGAAAAGCUAGUGGUAGAGCAUAUGCUUUGAAUGCAGAUGGUUCUAGGUUCAAGCCCUGGCAUUUCCAAA
Podarcis lilfordi (Lilford's wall lizard) is the source of this 72-nucleotide non-coding RNA. Lineage: Eukaryota; Metazoa; Chordata; Lepidosauria; Squamata; Lacertidae. The record is from the annotation of a GenBank genome assembly.